CUUGAUCCUACUAUAAAGUAUGGAUUAGACUUAUAUGUUGCAUGUGUAGUAGUUGAUGC
RNAcentral lists this non-coding RNA (59 nucleotides) under Plasmodium falciparum 3D7. Lineage: Eukaryota; Apicomplexa; Aconoidasida; Haemosporida; Plasmodiidae. The record is from RNAcentral.